GGAUAGAUAAGGGAUCUACCGAAUAGAAUUGAAAGUUCAGAAACUGACACAUAUAUAGUUAUAUAUAUAACAUGCAGUUGAUUUUUGACAAAGUUUCAAAGGGAAUUUAAUGGAGAAAGGAUUAUCUUUCAACAUGUGGUGUGGGAUAAAUUGGUUAUCCAUGUGCAGAAAUAUUAAAGAAUUUUAUUUAUAAUUUUUUCCCAGAAGAAUUCUGCUAAAAAUGGGCCAUAAAUCUAAAUGUAAAAUCUAAAAACUUAACAUUUCUAAAACAAAACAUAAGAGAAAACCUUUAUGACUUUGGGUUAGGCAGAGAUUUCUUAGUUCUGAUAUCAAAAAUAUGAAUCAGAAAAGAAAAAAUAAUAAAUGACACUUCAUAAUUAAGAACUUCUGUUUUUCAAGAUUGUUAAGAGAAUGAAAGACAAGACAUAAACUGGAAGAACAGAUUUGCAAAUUCAUGUCUAAGAAAAGACUUGUAUAGUAUAUUAAACACUCUUCAAAACUCAGACAGCAGAAAACAAAAUACGUAAAAGAUUUAAAUAGACACUUCUUCAGAGAAGAUAUGCAAAUAUCAAAUAAACUUAUGAAAAAAAUGCUCAACAUCAUUAGUUUUAGGGAAAUGAAAAAUAAAACCACAAUGAAAUAGCACUAUGUACUUAUUUAAAAAGUUUAAAAUUAAAAAGACUGGGAGAGUUCCCACUGUGGCUCAGAGGAUUAAGGACAGAAUGUUGUCUCUGUGAGGAUGUGGGUUUGAUCCCAGGCCUCACUCAGUGAGUUAAGGAUCCAGCACCACUGCAAGCUGCCAUGUGUGUCACAGGUGGGGCUUGGAUCCAGUGUUGGUGAGCUUGUGGUGAAGGCUACAGCUGCAUCUCUGAUUCAACCCCUGGCCUCGGAACCUCCAUAUGCUGCAGGUGCUGUUGUAAAAAGAAAAAAUAAAAGACUGGGAGGCUCCCAGUUCCCCUGUAGCACAGGGGGUUAAGGAUCCAGUGUUGCUGCAGCUGUGGUGCAGGCUGCAACUGUGGCAUGGGUUUGAUCCCUGGCUGGGGAACUUCCCACAUGCUGCAAUUGUGGCCAAAAAUUAAAUUAAAUUAUUAAAUUAAAUUAAAUUAAAAGACUGACUAUAUGGAGUGCAUGCUAGGAGGUGGAGCAACCAGAACUCAUACCCUGCUGAUGUAAAUGUAAAUUGAUACAGCUACUUUAAAAAACACUUUGGUAGCUUCAUAAUGUUAAUUAUGCCCUUAUACCAUAAGACUCAGCCAUUUCACUCCUAAGUAUUUAUACAAGUGAAAUGAAAUUCUGUGCUCUUACAAAAAUCACUACACAAAUAUUUGCAGUGGCUUGAUUCAUAAUUGCUCCAACUGGAAUCUCCCCUAAAGUCCUUUAGUUGGAAAAUGGAUAAACAAAUCUGGCACAUACAUACAGAGGAAUAACAUGACUACUCAUUAAUGUAUGCACUAUUGAUAUACAUGAGAAAAUGGAUGAUUUUUAAAUGCCUAAUACUAAGCUAAGGAAUCCAGAAUUGAAAGGCUGCAUACUGUGUUUCAUUCUUAUGAUGUUCUUAAAAAGGGAAAAAAUAGAUCAGUGGUUUAAAGGGACUGGGGCAGCUUACAAAGCAUUAUAAGGUAAUUUUUUGGAGGGAAGGAACUGGUCUACGUUUCGAUUGAUUGUGGUGGUGGUUAUAUGAUGGUGUGUAUAUCAAAACCAGCAGAAUUAUGUGUUACUAAAAAGGGUCAGUUUUACUGCAUGUAAAUUAUACUUUAAUUUCUUUAAGGGUGAAAAUAAAGAUCAAACAAAAAAGUCUGCAUAUCAUGGCCAGUUUCUUCCCUGAUGAGUGUAAUUCUGAACAGACAUGAAAAUUACCCCUGCUGAGCCUGCUCUUGUUGGAUUCCAACCAGCGUUCAGUAACAGCUCUGCCCUGUGUUGACUCAUUUGUAUGUACUUGAGUAUCUAAUUCCUCCAUCUCCGCCUGAGACACUUUGAGAAUAAACUGAAGGGUGGGUGAUACUUAACCUAGAAGUCCAAAGGCCAGAGCAAGAACAAAAUGUUCCAUCACUGUGGGUGGGGGUGAUUCAAGUCAGGCCCAAGGAAGAACUUCCCCGCAGGACAGUACUAGGAGACACUAAAAUAGUUGCAGAGGAAACUGUAAGCACUUUCUCAGAACUCAAAUGAAAGACCACAGGCAUCUGCCUCUCCCGAAUUCUCUCAUAAUCCCACACUUAUGAGCACAUGGCUCAGGCAGGGCCCCAGGCACACUGAAACAAAAGCAAGGUGAAUUUCUGUCCUCCAUAAAAAGGGAGGAAAUUAGGGUCCACAGUUGUGAAAAGAAAUCCACAUGCAGAUGGCUCAAAUGAUUGCCGUGGAAGUACCAGUCUGUCAUAGCCAUGCUUCGCAGAGCUUCAUGUCUCCCAGCAGAAUAAAAUGUAGUGAGUACUUUUAAAUAAGUGUGCAUUCAGGAAGAAAAGAUGUAGCAUAACCCCAAACAUUAGUGACUCAGGCCUGAGGGAUAAGAAGUGUGCUAAGAGUCAGGCUGCCAAACCAAUUAGACUGGAAACAUGUAUUUAGUUCUUUUCAGAAGACCCUCUAUUGCUUUGAACUGUCUUUCUAAUUAGGGGAUUAAUACAAUCUAGCUGACAGCUACAUUACCCUGUCACUUUUCUACAAAUUAUAUCUAUAAAAAUUCACAGACUUACAAACCCCAGAUUUUGAGAUUAAAAUGCUCUGUGAUUUGCUAUGUUUCAUGCAAAGUUAACUGAUUUAAUGCAUUCUCUUAGAAACUUUUUAACGUCCUGUGCCAAUUACACUUUACAUAAAUAUCAGUCCUUUGGUUAAGUCAAUUAGUGUAGGGUUAUAAAGCAAACAAGAGUCCUAAACUUCUGUUUAUGGGCAUGGUUUUCUGUGUUUAUGACUAUAAUUCUCAAAGCAUAAGCUUGUAGAGUCAUCACUUCAGAAUCUGGAAAUGUUCUGGCACCUGCUGUAAAGAAUGCAGUAUUUGUGUUUAAGCAAAGGUGUGCACUGAAUUCUAACAGAUACAAAGCAACCCAGACAAUCUAGUCUCAUUCAACACACACUUCGUGGCCGCCAGUGGGGACACCAUUGCUAUUCUCAUCUUGGCUUCCUCCUGCAGGCACUCAGGCUUAUGCUGAUACCUUGGAGGCACAGAGUGAUUUAUUGAUCAGUGUUAAUAUCCUAAAUCUGUAGUUAACAAAUAGCCGUAGAACUCCGGGUUCAUGGAAGGUCAAGGCAGGCAAGGUGGGGAAAGGGGAAGGGGGAUUGUCAUAUGCUGGGCACGAAUCUAAGAAGGUACUUUGUCUCAUUUGCAUUAAUUAUUACAAUAAACCAUAGACAUGGCUAUAAUAUCAUAAUAGACGUAAUAUUGUAAUAGACAUAAUACCGUCAUGUCAUAUGUGAGCAAUCUGAUUUAGCUGCAGUGUCUAUGGUGUUAUUUAAAGAACAUCUAUAACAACCAGUUAAACUCUUCUCCCCAGUGCCCUUCCAACCCUAAUCCAUCCUUCCGGCUACUCCCCUAAAGUUCCUGGAGUCUCCAUUGAGCAAGGCAAUGUUAGCUGUGUGGCCACACAAUACAUACACAUUAGCAUGACCUAGGAUGCUUGUAAAAAAUCCACUUGUUUUUGCAAAUUGCUGGGAUUCAUGAUUUGGGAAUGGGAAAUCGGGAUUCCCAUAAUCAUAAAUUAUUCUGUAUUUUUCAUAACAUCCUAUUUAUGUGUUUUUAAACAAUAAUGAGAGACCGUAAUAAUACAGAAUGAAUUAUUUUCCUGUGAUAUAGUUAUCUGAAAAAUUUCAGUGGUUUUCCAUGAAAAAGAUAUAAAAUAAAUGCAUGGCUACUUAUUGUUAUUAACCAACAUACUGGGUUAAGAUUAUAUAUUUCAAUAACACCCAAAAAUAUUCUGUACUUGAUAUAGGCUUUGAAGAUAGAAAAUAUUAAAAUAUGGAAACAUUGAUUCAAAAUAAAUAUCCUAUAGAUGUCAUUAAAAAUGGAAAGAUAGUACCAAGCAGUAUUUGCCCUGUCUGAUAGUCUUCAAUUUUGUUUCUUGAAAGAUAUUCUGGAUGGAGAAAAUUUCUUUGAUUUUGGUUGAAUUGCUAAGAAGUCAUCCAAAAACUUCUUCAAUUCAGGAAAAAAGGUAUUUCCAAAGGAAGUAGCUGUUCUUUUUAGACUUCGAAAGAUGCUUUGGAAAUGACUAGUGGGAGAAGAGAAGAAACAAAUGUGAUGGAGUCGUGUAUAUUGUGCAAGAUUAGAACUGUACUAAAGAUGAACAUGCUUAAUCUGCUGGGAGUAGGGAAAGGGAUGCUAAUAGCAUGCAGUUGAGGACCUUUGACUUCAGGUAUCACAAAUACAAUGGGCCCUUGAACACAGCCAAGACUAGGGGUGCCAAGCAAGUGGAACAUCUGUGUGUACAGCUUCACAGUCAGUCCUCCUUAUCCAAAGUUUCACGUAUGCAGAUUCAACCAACCAUGGACCAUAGUACUGUAGUAUGUAUGUAUUUUUUAAUUUUUAUUUUCUAUAGUAAAUAUUUAUUGGAAAAAAUAAAAACAUUCUAUAAGUGAAUCCACACAGUUCAAACCCAUGAUGUUCAAGGGUCGACUUUCCUCUAUCAUGACCAACAAGAGAGGAAACAACUGGGCUGUAUUUCUUUUUCCUUUUUUUUUUUUUUGUCUUUUUUUUUAGGGCCACACCCACCACAUAUGGAGGUUCCAGGCUAGGGGCCUAAUCGGUGCUGUUGCUGCCUGCCUACGUCACAGCCACAGCAAUGCCAGAUCCGAGACAUGUCUGCGACCUACACCACAGCUCAUGGCAACACCAGAUCCUUAACCCACUGAGCAAGGCCAGGGAUCGAACCCGCAACCUCAUAGUUCCUAGUCGGAUUUGUUUCUACUGCACCACCACCACAGGAACUCCUUCUUUUUCCUUUUUUCUUUAGUAUUUGAUUGGUAUUAACAAUACCAGUCACGUGGCUCUGAAUAUCAGAGGCAAGUGGAGGUGCUAAAAACUACUGUAAUGCUACUUUACCCAAAUCUCUUUUAUCAUGUUCUCACCACUAAAAAAUGAUAAAUAGAUUUAAUUUAACAUUAUGAAAAAGGAGCUUCAGCUUAAAAUCUUUUCCAUUUUGAAGUUAUAUUUGACCAUUAAAUGCACACAAAUAGAAAGAAGAAAAAUCAUUCCCAGCACCAUACUUAAACACAGCCUUUGUUAAUAAUUUAACAAAGUUUAUCUAUAAAUAGCUCUAAUCUUUUAAACAUGUAACACAGAGGUCCUUGAGUUUGUAUUCAUAAAUGAAAUUGCAACUUUUUUUCUUUAAACUUUUCAUUGAAAUAUAUACAAGAAAAAUGAAACUAAAUGUCCAGAUCAAUGAUUUUUCACAAAUUGAACACCAUCAUCAUCAACAACUAUAUCGGAGUUCCCGACAUGGCUCAGUGGUUAACGAACCUGACUAGUAUCCAAGAGGAUGCCGGUACAAUCCCUGACCUUGCUCGGUGGUUUAAGGAUAUGGUGUUGCCGUGAGCUAUGGUAUAGGUCACAGACAUGGCUCAGAUCCUGUGUUGCUGUGACUGUGGCAGAGGCUGGUGGCUGCAGCUCCAAAUUGGACCCCUAGCCUGGGAACCUCCAUAUGCUCCAGGUGUGUCCCUAAAAAGACAAAAAACAAAAACAAAAACAACCUUAUAAAAAAGCUGGACACUAAGAGAACCCCAGAAGUCCCUUUUAUUUGUAGUACCUGCACCACCUUUCCCUGAAAGGAGAAACACUAUUGAGAUUUUUUAUAGCCUAGAUUGUUUUUAUCUAUUAUACCGUAUGUCCCUGGAAUCACACAGUAUGUAUUUUUUUGUUUGAUUGCUUUCACUCAGCAUUGUUUGUCUUGUUAAUUAAUAUUUUUGCAAAUAAUUGUAGAUUGUUCAGUCUCAUUGCUGCAUUCAGUUGUGUGAACAAACGAUAAUUAUCUAUUCUAUUGUUCAUGUGGAUUUGGAUAUUUGCAUAUUUGGGCUAUUUCACAUAAUGCUUUUAUGAAAAUUUUGGUACAAAUCUUUUAGUGAAUAUAUGCACACAUUUGGAUACUGCCAAAUAUUUUCCCGAAGUAGUAUACCAAUUUACAACUUUAUCAGCAGCAUAUGAGAGUUUUGGAUUUAACAUCUUGUCAAUAUUUGUUUCUUCUGUUUUGUUUCCUUUUAGCCAUUCCAGUGGCUGUGUAUUGGUAUCGCAUUGUGGUGACUUCUUUGAUGACUAACAGAGGAAAACCUACCACUUUUUCAUAAUUUAUAUUGUCCAUUUGAAUAUCGUUUUGUGUAUAAUCAAAACUUUUGCACAUUUUUCUGUUAUCUUUUCUUUAUUAUUGAUUCAUAAUGCUCCUUAUAUAUUUUAGAAAUUAUUUUUUAGAUUGAUAUCUAAUCCUAUUGUGAAGUUUGCCUUUUUAUUCUCCUAAUGAUGUUGUUUGAUGGACAUACAUUUUAGUUUUAAUAUAGUCCAAUUUGUCAAUAUUUUAAUAGUGACUUUGUGUCCCAUCUUUGUCUACUUCAAGGUCAGAAAGGUGUCCAGCUUACUUUUACACUAAAUACUUUAGAUAUUUUCUUUUUACUUAUAUAUUUAAAAUCCAUCUUGAAUUGAGUUUUGUGUAUGGUGGGAUAUUUUGUGUCCUGUGUGACGCAGGACUCAGCAAACUCUGUGUGAAAAUCCAGCUGUCCUUUUGAAAAGUAAAAGCAUUAGUGG
RNAcentral lists this long non-coding RNA (6712 nucleotides) under Sus scrofa (pig). RNAcentral's name for it is "lncRNA (ENSSSCG00035037513.1)". The record is from RNAcentral. Lineage: Eukaryota; Metazoa; Chordata; Mammalia; Artiodactyla; Suidae.